UUUAAAUUUAGAGUUUGAUCCUGGCUCAGGACGAACGCUGGCGGCGUGCUUAACACAUGCAAGUCGAGCGAUGAAGCUUCCUUCGGGAAGUGGAUUAGCGGCGGACGGGUGAGUAACACGUGGGUAACCUGCCUCAAAGUGGGGGAUAGCCUUCCGAAAGGAAGAUUAAUACCGCAUAAUAUAAGAGAAUCGCAUGAUUUUCUUAUCAAAGAUUUAUUGCUUUGAGAUGGACCCGCGGCGCAUUAGCUAGUUGGUAA
RNAcentral lists this ribosomal RNA (257 nucleotides) under Clostridium botulinum. Its description in RNAcentral is "partial 16S ribosomal RNA". It matches the Rfam family "Bacterial small subunit ribosomal RNA", at positions 1 to 255 of the family's 1533-position model. Lineage: Bacteria; Bacillati; Bacillota; Clostridia; Eubacteriales; Clostridiaceae. The record is from RNAcentral.